RNAcentral lists this ribosomal RNA (465 nucleotides) under Vreelandella stevensii. RNAcentral's name for it is "partial 16S ribosomal RNA". It matches the Rfam family "Bacterial small subunit ribosomal RNA", at positions 338 to 795 of the family's 1533-position model. The record is from RNAcentral. Lineage: Bacteria; Pseudomonadati; Pseudomonadota; Gammaproteobacteria; Oceanospirillales; Halomonadaceae.
CCUACGGGAGGCUGCAGUGGGGAAUAUUGGACAAUGGGCGAAAGCCUGAUCCAGCCAUGCCGCGUGUGUGAAGAAGGCCUUCGGGUUGUAAAGCACUUUCAGUGGGGAAGAAAGCCUUGGGGCUAAUACCCUCGAGGAAGGACAUCACCCACAGAAGAAGCACCGGCUAACUCCGUGCCAGCAGCCGCGGUAAUACGGAGGGUGCGAGCGUUAAUCGGAAUUACUGGGCGUAAAGCGCGCGUAGGCGGUCUGAUAAGCCGGUUGUGAAAGCCCCGGGCUCAACCUGGGAACGGCAUCCGGAACUGUCAGGCUAGAGUGCAGGAGAGGAAGGUACAAUUCCCGGUGUAGCGGUGAAAUGCGUAGAGAUCGGGAGGAAUACCAGUGGCGAAGGCGGCCUUCUGGACUGACACUGACGCUGAGGUGCGAAAGCGUGGGUAGCAAACAGGAUUAGAUACCCGAGUAGUC